Molecule: ribosomal RNA, 291 nt
Filed under: uncultured bacterium
Lineage: Bacteria
Description: partial 16S ribosomal RNA
Rfam family: Bacterial small subunit ribosomal RNA
Source: RNAcentral
GGGCCUACGGGGGGCAGCAGUGGGGAAUAUUGCACAAUGGGGGAAACCCUGAUGCAGCGACGCCGCGUGAGCGAUGAAGUAUUUCGGUAUGUAAAGCUCUAUCAGCAGGGAAGAAAAUGACGGUACCUGACUAAGAAGCCCCGGCUAACUACGUGCCAGCAGCCGCGGUAAUACGUAGGGGGCAAGCGUUAUCCGGAUUUACUGGGUGUAAAGGGAGCGUAGACGGCGGUGCAAGCCAGAUGUGAAAGCCCGGGGCUCAACCCCGGGACUGCAUUGGGAACUGUGCUGCUA